AUUGAACGCUGGCGGCAGGCCUAACACAUGCAAGUCGAGCGGUAACAGGACUAGCUUGCUAGUUGCUGACAAGCGGCGGACGGGUGCGUAACACGUAGGAAUCUACCCAGUAGCGGGGGAUAGCCCGGAGAAAUCCGGAUUAAUACCGCAUACGCCCUACGGGGGAAAGCAGGGGAUCUUCGGACCUUGCACUAUUGGAUGAGCCUGCGUCGGAUUAGCUUGUUGGUGGGGUAAAGGCUCACCAAGGCGACGAUCCGUAGCUGGUCUGAGAGGAUGAUCAGCCACACUGGGACUGAGACACGGCCCAGACUCCUACGGGAGGCAGCAGUGGGGAAUAUUGCACAAUGGGCGAAAGCCUGAUGCAGCCAUGCCGCGUGUGUGAAGAAGGCUCUAGGGUUGUAAAGCACUUUCAGCGAGGAGGAAAGGUUGAUGAUUAAUACUCAUUAGCUGUGACGUUACUCGCAGAAGAAGCACCGGCUAACUCCGUGCCAGCAGCCGCGGUAAUACGAAGGGUGCAAGCGUUAAUCGGAAUUACUGGGCGUAAAGCGUGCGUAGGCGGCUUGCUAAGUUGGAUGUGAAAGCCCCGGGCUCAACCUGGGA
This 600-nucleotide ribosomal RNA is filed under the name uncultured bacterium. RNAcentral describes it as "bacterial SSU rRNA". It matches the Rfam family "Bacterial small subunit ribosomal RNA", at positions 28 to 619 of the family's 1533-position model. The record is from RNAcentral.